RNAcentral lists this unclassified non-coding RNA (554 nucleotides) under Zea mays. RNAcentral's name for it is "misc RNA Zm00001eb187600". Lineage: Eukaryota; Viridiplantae; Streptophyta; Magnoliopsida; Poales; Poaceae. The record is from RNAcentral.
CAACUACUCCUAUGUAUCAAGCUCUCUGGUCUGGAACGUUUUCAGGCUCCAGCAUGUACACAGACUACAGAAACACAGGGUAUACAGCCGAUCCGAUUUGGCAAUCUGGGACUUGGAAGAAGUCUACAGUGAUACACAACCAAAACCUGAACUGCCAACGGAAACCAAACCCUAGGAUCUGUUUUCGGGGUCGCUUUAAAUUGGACAGUAAGGAUUCUGACCACAGGAAAUUCAUAAUUUUAGAGGAAACUGAAAUUCCGUUCUUGAAAAGGGAAAAAAAGGCAGAGCGACUGCAAUCACCGGCGCUUUCAAUUCCGUAUUGGGAUGCCACAAUUUUAGGGAGGCGUCAGACCUUGGGGAGAAGAGGCGAGGGACUGGUGAUCCAGGAGGUGGAAGAUCUUGAGGCACAGCUCUCUGGGCAACCCAUCCAUGUCUCCUCGAGGCUUUCCCAGUUCUCCGGCCCAAUUGUCGCACUCACCGAGAAGCUCUGGAUGAGACUCGAAACGACGAAAGAUUGCUCGGCGUUUCAGAUCCGGAGCUGGAGGUGAAGAGUG